UGGGGAAUUUUGGACAAUGGGGGAAACCCUGAUCCAGCCAUCCCGCGUGUGCGAUGAAGGCCUUCGGGUUGUAAAGCACUUUUGGCAGGAAAGAAACGUCGCGGGUUAAUACCCCGCGAAACUGACGGUACCUGCAGAAUAAGCACCGGCUAACUACGUGCCAGCAGCCGCGGUAAUACGUAGGGUGCAAGCGUUAAUCGGAAUUACUGGGCGUAAAGCGUGCGCAGGCGGUUCGGAAAGAAAGAUGUGAAAUCCCAGAGCUUAACUUUGGAACUGCAUUUUUAACUACCGGGCUAGAGUGUGUCAGAGGGAGGUGGAAUUCCGCGUGUAGCAGUGAAAUGCGUAGAUAUGCGGAGGAACACCGAUGGCGAAGGCAGCCUCCUGGGAUAACACUGACGCUCAUGCACGAAAGCGUGGGGAGCAAACAGGAUUAGAUACCCUGGUAGUCCACGCCCUAAACGAUGUCAACUAGCUGUUGGGGCCUUCGGGCCUUGGUAGCGCAGCUAACGCGUGAAGUUGACCGCCUGGGGGAGUNCGGUCGCAAGAUUAAAACUCAAAUGAAUUGAC
RNAcentral lists this ribosomal RNA (567 nucleotides) under uncultured bacterium. RNAcentral's name for it is "partial 16S ribosomal RNA". It matches the Rfam family "Bacterial small subunit ribosomal RNA", at positions 355 to 914 of the family's 1533-position model. The record is from RNAcentral.